This 527-nucleotide unclassified non-coding RNA is filed under the name Hevea brasiliensis (rubber tree). The record is from RNAcentral. Lineage: Eukaryota; Viridiplantae; Streptophyta; Magnoliopsida; Malpighiales; Euphorbiaceae.
CACUUGUCAUCAUCGCAUGAGAAAUUGGCAUUUGCAUAGGUUCUUAGAAAGUUUUCUUGAGCAGGGAAGCAAAGGAUUCAGGGAAACGAAAUGGAAAGAUAGAUGGAGAAGCCACGAAAACAAUCCCGAACCCAUAUCAAUCUCAAGAAUCUUCCUCCUCUAGAUCCAAGCACCACCUCCUCCUACUCCCAGGUACGCNNNNNNNNCUAGGUAUGUACCUAAAGCUGCCAAGCCAGGACCCCAAGAAGAGGGAACCGAGGCAGGAAAAUUAUUUGAUCAUGAGGCAAACACGGAAGCAGAUUUGUUAGCUGAUACAAAUCUAUUAAAUAAUAAGCAUAAUACCAGAGAUGAUGAAGAUGAUGUUUCUAAUUGUUGUGUCAAGCACAUAAUAGACUCUAAUAACACAAUCUUCAAGGCCCAAACUCAGACCAAGGUGGAUCCUAAAACCAGUGGGGAUAAUAAAGCCUUCUAUAAUGACUCAGGUGAACCAAAUAAUAUAUCAGCUAAAUCACAAUUGCAUGAGAUUU